CGGCAGUAGGGAGGAGGAUACGGUGCAAGUGGAGAGUUCACUCUCUCUUCUGUGUUAACUCCUCCUUUAUUUUUCUUAUUUUUGGAACAUUGUAAUUAUGAUUUACAAUCAUAAUUUGCUAAUGAGUCAUUUAUCUUUGUAAUUAGAUUAGGUUAAUUUUUGUAUUAAUACUUGGAUUAUGGAUGGAGUUUUUGGAGCAACAAGAAGUGACGAUUUCAAGAAGCUUUGUCAUCUUCGUUUCGUAAUCGGUAUUGGUAUAAUUUCUAUCUUUUUUAUUGUUAUUAUUAUUUUGUAGUUAGUUUUUAUUUCCAAUAUUGGGUGAAUCUAUGGAAUAAUUAAUUGAUUAGGAAUAGUUUUGUAUGGUUUUAAUGGUAUGCUAUAGAAUAUUUUCUAGUAAAACAUCUAUUUAUGUUCAUAUAUCUUUAAUCAUGAGUUUAGAUAUGUGAAUGUUUAAUUAGUUGGUUAAUUUCUUGAUUACGUAAUAGAUCUUCAAAUUAACAAGCAACAAAUGGUUUUUGUGAUUGUGUUUCUUUCACACAAUCAUGAAAAUAUUUUCUCCAACAUGGUAGUGAAAGCAUUUUGACUCCUCUUGGAUUUGGUGACUUUUAAAUCUUAAUGCUAGUUAAUUUUCAUUAAUUACAUGCUUCAUGGAAAUUAUGACUUUAACUAAAAAAAUGUGUUAUGAGCUUCUCUAACCAUUGUAUUAACUAAGAAAAAUCUAGGUGAUCUUAAGCUUCUUAGAUUGCUAUAGCCAAAUUAGUAUCCAUUAAACUCAUUGCACCACAAAAUUAUGAUUAUUAGUCAAAUAAUUCAACUUGUGAUUUAUCCUGAUAUUGGAACGUUUUAUUUUAUAGGUUUUGUAUUUUUCCAUUUUUGUUAUUUUUGUGAAAUAGUUUUUAUCGCAUUUAACGUUUUGAAAACCCCCAUAUCAUUUUAUAUUUUUUUUAUUUCGUAGAAACUGAAUGCAUAGAUUUGAUUCGAACCAAUCCCUUUGGAUUCGAUCCCUAUUACCACUACUACAAUUUAAUUUUGUAUGUUGUCGUAUUAAGGUUUUUUUUAUUUGGUGGUCUCGACGCCCACCAGUAGAGGCUCUCACAAUCGUAAUCCUUUAUCACAUCUAGCCACCGACGCUGCCUCAUGUUCAGAUUCGGUUGAUCCAUGAGGUACCUCAAACUCUUUUCGUCCGUGUAAAUGGUAUAACGGACCCCAUAAAGGUAAUGUCCCCAAAUGUUGAGGGCGAAGACGACUGCCCCCAACUCCAUAUCAUGCACCUGGUAGUUCGCCUCGUGAGGCUUUAGCUGCCUCGAAGCGUAUGCAAUGACAUGUCCUCUCUGCAUCAGUACUGCGCCCAUACCCGAAAUGGACGUAUCACAGUACACUACAAAAUCCUCCACGCCCUCAGGUAGGGCUAUAAUCGGCGCCUCGAACAAUAUCUGUCUCAAUGUCUCAAAUGUUGCCUGUUGCUCAGGCCCCCAGCGAAAUACAAUAGCUUUCUUCAUCGGCCAGGUCAAGGGUACGGCUAUCUUGGAGAAAUCUUGAAUGAAUCUCUGGUAUUAGCCAGCCAAUCCCAGGAAACUAUAAAUCUCAAAUAGAGACUUUGGAACCUCCCAUCAUCACGGCCUCCACCUUGGUCGGGUCCACAAAAAUCUCGUUCUAGUUGACAAGGUGCCCAAGAAACUGCACCUCGCGCAACCAAAACUCGCACUUGGAGAAUUUGGCAAACAAGCUCUCCCUCCUCAGGGUAUCUAACACCUCCCGCAAGUGUUCAUCAUGUUGCUCCUGCGUCUUGGAGUAAACCAAGAUGUCUUCAAUGAAAACUAUCACAGACCGAUCCAACAUCAGUCUGCAUACACGGUUCAUAAGGACCAUGAAUGUGGUAGGAUGAUUGGUGAGCCCGAAAGGCAUUACAACGAACUCGUAGUGGCCAUAGCGAGUCCGAAAAGCAGUCUUUUGUAUAUCCUCGUCUCUGACCCUCAUCUGAUGGUAGCACGAUAGCAAAUCUAUGUUGGAAAACCAAGAUGCCCCCUGAAGUUGGUCGAAAAGGUUAUCAAUCCUCAGGAGUGGGUAACGGUUCUUCACCGUGACCUUGUUCAGCUCCCAGUAAUCUAUACACAUCCGAUGCGACCCAUCAUUCUUCUUUACAAACAAGAUUGGGGCUCCCCAGGGUAAACUACUUGAUCUGAUGAAUCCCUUGUCUAACAGCUCCUACAACUGUGUAGACAACACCUGCAUCUCGGGAGGUGCCAAUCGAUACGAGGCCUUGGCUAUCGGAGCCGCACCCGGGACUAGGUAGAUCCUAAACUCUAUCUGUCUCUCCGAAGGUAUUCGUGUUAAAUCCUCUGGAAAUACAUCCGGGUACUCUCGCACCACUGACACAUCACUCACGGUCGCCUUACCCUCAUCUUGGGUAUCCAUGAUAUAGGCAACAUAUCUGUCGCAAACCUGCUGAAGGUAGCACCUAGCCCUCACUGUUGAGCAUAAAGCUGGUCCGUGAUGUGGCCUCUCACCCUGAAUCACCAGCUCUCCCCCACUUGGGGUCCUAAACCGAACCAACUGUUGCGCGCAGUCAAUCACUGCUCCAUUAGGGCUCAACCAGUCCAUACCAAUGAUGACCUUGUUCCCACGUAAUGGUAUGGGAACCAAGUCCACCAAAUAGCGCUCCUCGAACAGCCUCAAAACACUUAAUAAUUAUUCUCCAAUUAAUGAUUAUUUAAGAUGAUAAAACAAAGAAAAAUAGCAAGACAAAUUGAAAAAUAUCUUUUAUAUUUUUCACAUAUUCUACAUGUAUAAUAACAGUGUUACAAAAAGUUUUGGCAAUUUUGGAAACAGUUUUCUAUUUAUUUCAAUUUUUAUUAGAAUAAAUGAACAAAAAUCAUAAAAUCAGGUUAAACAGUUUAGAAAUCUAUUUUUAUUUUUUUCCCUGCUUAAGAAUGUUUAUAACGGUAAUACUAAAAGUUUGGACAAUUUUGGAAACUGUAUUCUAUUUAUUUCAUAUUUUAUUAGAAUAAAUGCACAAAAAUUAUAAAAUUGGGUUAAACAGUUUAUAAAUCCAUUUUUACAAGUGGACCAUAGUUCAAUGCACCAUUUGCAUCAUCUCAAUGUAUUGUGAGUAUUCACGACACCCCUAUUUUCGGUUUUUAUGUUUUGGGGUGGAAAAGCAUGUCCGAAAAACUAUUAUAUGUUAGUUGUAUUUAAAUUGAUUUGUAUCAAACUUGAUUUCUAUUUUAUUGCUAUAUUUCUCUAUGUAUAUCUAUGCAACACGAAACAUGAGGCCUUAUCGUCUUAAGUCCGUUCCCUUUACACUUUACUCCAUCCAUUAACUCUUUGAGCCAAUGGUCAUUAUGGAUAGCGCUAUUAGGAAUUGAUAACUCCUCACUCACCCGAUUGCUUGAGUACAUGAUACCAUAUAAUCUAUGGAACGAUAAGCAUAGAUCUUGAUAGGGUAUCAGUCAUAGGCUUGGUUGGGAACUCAUUGUUUGCUCAUACACAUACAAACUCGUUACUUAUUAUAGCAAUAAAAUUUGUAUCUCAUUAUAACAACGAACUUUUGUUACUAAAUACUUAUUUACUUAUUUUAGCAACGAACUUGGUUGCUCCUUAUAGUAACAAACUUGUUUGCUCCUUGUAGCAACAAACUUGAUUGCUCAUUAUAGCAAUGAAACUUGUUUACUCGUUUUAGUAACAAACUUUAUUUCCCAUGAGAAUAUGAACGUUGCAUCUCAUUUGGGCAACAUACUUUAUCUCUCAUGAUGACAACGAACUUUGUUUAUACAAACUUAUUUACUCAUUUUAACAAUAUAUUUCUAUUUAUGGAAACUUUUAUCAAAACUUUGAUUUCGAUUCAUGAAACCAAUAUUAUUAUUAUUAUUAUUGUUAUUAUUAUUAUUAUUAUUAUUAUUAUUAUUAUUAUUAUUAUUAUUAUUAUUAUUAUUAUUAUGUAUGAGUACUCACCAACUAUUUUUAUAGUUGACGCUCGUUUUACAUGCGUUUUCAGGAAUCAUCGUGUAAGUGGCACUUAGGGACACAUCACUGUUAGGAGCAUUCGCAUGUGUUGUAUUUCAAUUUACAUUGUAAUUUCUUUUAAAAUUUGUUCAAACCCAUUGUAAAUUUGUAAUGAUUUUUAAUACUAUGGUUGGUGUUGUCUUUUAACUUUU
Molecule: long non-coding RNA, 4154 nt
Filed under: Lactuca sativa (garden lettuce)
Lineage: Eukaryota; Viridiplantae; Streptophyta; Magnoliopsida; Asterales; Asteraceae
Description: long non-coding RNA (LSAT_LNC002789)
Source: RNAcentral